RNAcentral lists this long non-coding RNA (7704 nucleotides) under Medicago truncatula (barrel medic). RNAcentral describes it as "long non-coding RNA (MTRU_LNC002709)". The record is from RNAcentral. Lineage: Eukaryota; Viridiplantae; Streptophyta; Magnoliopsida; Fabales; Fabaceae.
AAAGAUCAAGUGAACGACAGAACAGAUGAAUAUGGUGGAUCCCUUGAGAACCGUUGUCGGAUUGUUUUGGAAGUUGUUGAAGCUGUUGCAAAUGAGAUAGGUGCAGAUAGAACUGGAAUUAGAUUAUCACCUUUUUCAGAAUAUGCAGAAUGUGUAGACUCUAAUCCCAGAGAAUUGGGACUUUAUAUGGCUAAUGCCCUCAAUAAAUAUGGUAUUCUUUACUGUCAUGUGGUGGAACCAAGAAUGAAAACUGUUAAUGAAAGAAUUGAAUGCUCUCACAGCCUUGUGCCGAUGAGAAAGGCCUUCAAAGGCACUUUCCUGGCUGCAGGAGGUUACGACCGAAAUGAUGGGAUCAAUGCCAUAGCUGAAAAUAGGACAGACCUUGUUGUAUAUGGUCGUUUGUUCUUAGCUAAUCCAGAUUUGCCGAAGAGAUUUGCACUUAAUGCUCCUCUAAACAAGUAUAACAGGGCGACAUUCUACACUUCAGAUCCAGUUAUAGGUUAUACUGACUACCCUUUUCUUGAAUGAAGAAACCAGUGUUGUAGCAUCAAAGUGUGGAAUCUCUUCACUAAAUAAGUUCAAUACCCCUUUGCUAAUUGCUUUCUGCUAUUGAUUCCUCUCAUGCUUAGUCUGAUAAUGCUUUGGAGUUUGGAGCCAGCUCACACAUUUUGUAAAUGGUCAGGAAAACAUAGUAUGUAAGAGUAAAACUACUUUUGUAUGUGAUAAAGUCACUGUAUGCCAAAAAGAAGUUUACCUGAUUUUACAAAAUUACAAUACGCGUUUUGUGCUAACAAGAGGAUUAUUUCCAUUGUCUCGUCUUUGUUUCUUCAAUCAAUCCAUGUGUCUUUUAGAUGUUGAUGGUAUAAAUAACUAAAAUGAUGGAAACAUGAUCAAAAUUAUUUUCUGUUUAUUGGGUUAAAAUACCAAUGGUAAGCCGAAAAUAUGCAACCGAUAUAUUCCAAAUGCAAAGCUUUGCACAGCAGAAUUUUGAUCCAAGUCUAAAAUUGUAGCUUUCAUGCAUAUAGGAAGACAUAAAAUUCAUACAAAUACUUCAACUGCCUGGUCCUCGUUUCUAUAUCCCUACUUGCAAAGUUUUCAACUGUUGUAUCCCUAAUGCAGGAACUUGAAACACUCUAGGCAAGACUUCCACAUUGUAGCAAACCAAAGUUUGAACCUUAGCUGUGAUGUCUGCCACACUUCGAACCACUUUUGGCCUUGGGCCCUCUUUUGUACCAAAAAGAAAAAAGUAUUGACACACAAAUCCUUCCAAAUGAAUGGAAGAGAACGACUCCCUCUCAAAGCAAGCCGCCACUUUCCAUUUAAGUGUCAAUAUAAAAUUAGUAAAAUUAUUACAAAUCUUCAACUUUAUAUAGUUACUUUUCCAUCAGAAACAAAUCAUUCUUAUGGAAGUGAUUCAACAUUUCCUUUGUCACAAGGUAGGUGUAAUGUAUCUUGUAGUCGUUCGUGUCAUUGCCAACUAGUAGUAUGAUGUUAUAUGUACAAUAUGUUUCACCCUUUGAGUAGAAUCAUUAUAAUUUAAAGGGAAAAAAAUGGUUGAAAACCCCUAUUAAAUCUGAUAGCGUAACGACCGGAUCCAACCACCACGAUUUGUACAGUUCAAUUAUAUAUAUUAACGUAUUUCAAUAGAUAUGAUAAAAAUGAAAAGGGAAUAAGUUGAGAGAAGAAAAAAUGUAAGAAGGAAACAUAAAAUGAUGUGAGAGAUUAAGAAAUGAGGGUAUGUAUUUAUAGUAUUUAUAGAAUUUUUACUAAGGUGCUGUUUGACCCGACUUUUUUUCAACUUUUCUGCAUUUUUAAGGAGAAGUUAUGUCAAACACAAUAUCAAUUAAAUUUAUGUUAUUAUUUCUCCUAUUCAAAUAUUUAACAAGUCAUGAUACAAAUUUGUAUUCAUGUUACAUAAAAUAAAAGUCAUUGAAUAAAUAUAAUAUUUGUAAAAAAAAAAUCUUUUAUAUUUUAAAUAUUUUUACCCUUCAGAACAUAUUUUAAACAUUUUUUUAUUUAUAAUGUUAAUUCAUAAUAAAUUCAAAGUUUUAUCCUCGUGGGCUUAGCUCAGUUGAUAGGGAUAAUGCAUAAAUAUAUGCAAAGUUCGGGGUUCGAACCCGAACACCAUAAAAUAAAAAUAAUAAAUUCAAAGUUUGUACAAUAUUUUGUCAAACAAUUUUUAACUUAAAAAUAACUCUAAAACUAAAAAAAAAAAAAAAUACAUAGAAAAAACCAAACAACUUUAGCUUAGAAAACUACAUCUCAAGUCCCGCUUGUAGGGAUGGCAAUGGGUACCCAAUGGGGGGUACUACAGUGUCCGUCCUCAUACUCGCAUUUAUAAAAAAUACCCGUGCCCGUACCCUCGUGGGCAACAACUUUAGUCCCCUUCCCCAUAUCCUAUGGGUACCUAAUUGCCCAUACCCGCACCCAUUACACGCACUUUAACUAUGAAAAAACAAAAAAAAACAUCACAAAUGAAAUAAAACUACGAUCCCAAUUUUUUAAAAUUAACUCAUAAAAUAAUAUGAAUCGUGGUAUUUAGUCAAAUAGAAAACAUUCAAAAUAUCCCUAAAAAAUUAUACACCAACAGGCAUGAUAGAGUUGUUAUUGUAUUAAGCAGUUGUUUGGUUUAAGUUUAGGUUUAAGCUUAAAUAGCUAAAUUAAUUAAUUAAUUAAUUAUACAUAAAAAAUAAUAAAUAAAUAAUUUAUGAUAUUAUAUAAACAUGUAUAUGCGAGGUUGUGGGUCUGGGCAAUAUAGUACUCUUAUUCGUGUCCAUACCCAUUUAAUUUUGUAGGUAUUACCCGUACCCGUGCUCAGACUCAUAAAAGUGGGGUUUUAUCCUACCCAUUGUGGGUAUUUUUUGCGGGUACCUAUUGAAUCUGGGUCCAAUUGCCAUCCCUACCCGCUUGUGACAUAUAAUAAGGGAAAAAAAAAAUCAGCUUUUUAGUAUGUCGCAAGGCAGAGGGGUUGCAUGUCGCAAGUUGAAAAAAAGUAUGGUAGAGUUGGAAGAAAAAAAAUAAACUAGGGUAGUGUUAUUUUUUAGGAAACAACUAGGGUAGUUUUAGAAUUUUGUUUUUAAAGCAGGGUAGAAAUUUUUUUCCUUCAGAUUUUGGUUGUGCAAUUUGUACUGUACUGUGCAUGGCAACCAACUAUGUUUUCAAUGAUAAGAAGAUCUAUGGUGCUGCUGCUGUUAUUCCCAAAUACAGCAAGUUUGCUCCUCUUAGUCGUCGUUUUGUUUCAACCCUGAUGCCGCGGCUGUCCCCUCUUUUCCUCGUGACUAUUGCGGUAAUUACUACAAUGCUAUCAAUACUUUCAAUAUACUGCUUGAUCGAGGCUACUCUUCCAUAUAGUAAUUACAAUUAUGUUCUUUCUACCCUUGCUAGAAUGGGUUCUUCCCGAGUUGUUGUCAUCCCAAUUCAAUAAUCGUCUUGUUGUCCCAAACAUUCAUCAUACUUUGACUAUUCUCAUCCAAUCCAUCCCACUCUAGAGCAGGUAACAUGUCUUCAGCUAUCGACUCAUUAUCCUACUACUCAAACUUUGAACGAUCUUUUAGAUUUUUUUUUGUCGUAGACACCAGAUUCACCAAGCAAUACAUUUUCUUAAUGAUAUCAUACUUACAAACAGUAAUCUUGUAUUGAACUGCCGUAGUUAUAGUAUUCUAAUGAGGUACCCAUCUUUCUUGUUUUAUGUUUGUUUGAUUAUAUAAAGAAUUGUAGUUUGCAAUGGAAUUUGAUACGUUUCUCCUCUAUUUUGGUGAGAGAUAAUUAGUCUUUUAAACCGAUCAUUCAAGACUGAAAUGAGAUGUUCAGGAUUUUCUCAAUUUCUUUAGGAUAACAGUUUCAAUUUCAUCCAUAGAAACACAAAUUAACAUUUCUAUAGGCUCCUAACUUGCGGUCUGCCCUAUUUCCACCCCUAGUUUUAAUGCAUAUAUACAAUUUAGCAAAUCAGUAUACUACUUUUAUAAUGGACAAAUAUAUUUUAUCAAUUCAACAUGCCAAGUCCGUGUUGACCUCAAUUCUCUAUUUCCUACUUUAAUACUUAAAGUUUAGAUGUUCAAUAAACAGCUUACAGGGCUGUGGGAACUAACCCUUAUCAUACAAAAUCUGUCUCCAAGUCUGGAGUAGUUUCUUAGUUAAUGUUUCAUUCAUGUUUUUAUUAAUUUUGAAACUUUAUUGUUUCUUAUUUUAUGCUUUGCACAUAAAUAUUAUAGGUGGAUAUGAAAUUUCCUUGGAAGAGAAUAAGACAAUAUAGUUAGUUCUAAAAUUGUUUUGGUUCAUCGCAUUGAAGGUAUGAAGUUUUUUUUUUUUUUUUUUUUUUUUUUUGAAUCUGAAUCAUGUUCUGAAAUGUUCCCUUAUUACUAAUAACUAAUAGAGGAUAAAUUAUAGAUCCAGAGUUGGAUUGACUAACCCUGUCUUGGUUAUAAAAAACCAACAGUAUCUACUGCACUUUCCUUCAAUAACAGGUUAGAAGUUUUUCAGAUUGAAAUUUUUGCCAUUAGAGCUGCAGUAGCAUUGUUAUUAAAAUCUUGAUCAGAAUUCUGAAAUACUACGAUUUGUUGUCUUGCCGAUCUUAAUCCUAAGUAGAAUUGUAAACUGCAAUAUCCGUUCGAAAUUGUUUAUGUUUAAGCGAUUUUGUGUUGCCUUAUAAUUGGCGCGUCCGUGAUGUGACGUAGACUUGUAGUUUUUAGAAUUUGAGUAUUUUGUAUACUUGGUUGUUUUGUAUUUAAGAUUUAAGAUUUGAGAUUUUAAGUCGAUUAUGUUUAAGCUUUGCCACUAGUUUGUUUUAUGUUUAAGAUUUGAGAUUUGGUUGUUUAAGUUUGCUUUAAGUUUUCAAACUCUUUAAGUUUAUUUUUUUGUUUUGAGAGAAACUCUUAAGUUGUUUAUGCACUUUACGGUAUAUAUUUAAUAUUAUUCGAGUAGAAUCUUUUGAUUUUGGUUGCGAUCUUGCUAUCGCCUUUCAAUUCUACAAAAUCAAUUGAGUAGAAUCCAUUAAUUUUGGUUGCGAUUUUAGGUUUUGCGAUUUAACUAUCCUCUUUGAUCAGAAGCAAAAUCUUAAUUUUAACGUUAGUGUGUAUAUGGAAGCCUUUCAACGUAUGUGACAUUGGGAGGGUCCUCAACAAAUCAGAAGCUUCAUGUAGAUGGUAAUGGAAUGUGGUUUGAAGGCAGAUGAAAAAACAUCUACUAUUACUUCUUCUUUUUUUGAAAGAAAACAUCUACUAUUACUAUUACUAUAUAUAUGCCUAAUUAGAAAAUAUAGUAAUGCAAUGGGAUUUUAGUUUACGUGAAUCUUAUGAUUUUUCUUAACAAAUGUCUAACUACUUUUACUAUAUGCCUAAUUAAAACGCCAAGCAACAACGUUUUGCCUUAAUUUACCAUUAUCUGCAAUCGUCUCUUCUUUUUUUUUAAUAUAAUUAGCUCCAAUAUCUCGCAACCACCUUAAGCACACCAAUCAAGUUCCACCAAAUGCACAUCACCAAUUAUUACUCUAGCAUACAAGUUUGGUCAUGGAAAAACCAAUCCAUCUAUGGCCAACAAUACUCAAGCAACAUAAAUACAUUAUAUAGCAGAUUCCACAAGAGUCGUCGUCGCUAAUCAUUUGUUGUAUAUUUUAGAUCACCGUCUCCCUCUAUUUCAGGUUGUUGUUGUUGAAAGACUACCAUAAAAAAUUCAUCAAGGUGUUUCUAAUAUCUAAUUUCUAAUAUCCUUAAUAAAUAAAUCAACUUUCAUAUGUUUAGUCCGCACUAAAGUAUAUAAAAUAAAACAUUGUUCUGUAUUGAUGAAAUAUAAACUAGUUCCAAAGGUUGCUAUAAUUAGUAAUUCAAUGAUCAGCACCAAUAAAUAUAUUUCGUAAAGAAGACUUCGUGAUCACAUUAGUCAAAUUGGACUGCGGUGAGAUACUAACUAUCUCCAAGGUGAGAGAAAGUACAACGUAAUACCUCACGUCACCAACAAGUAUAAUAAAUUAAUAAUAAACCGCCAUCACAUAAGUUUCACUAUAAAAUACUUCAACUACAACUACAACUUCACAUUCAAUUUCAAAUUGUGCAUCACUUAAUAACGUAAUCAAGUGAAAAUGGCUGGUAUUGUUGAAUCUGAUCCAAUUCCUCUUCUUACUCCUUACAAAAUGAGAAAAUUCAAUCUAGCUCAUAGGUAUUUUUAUCUUUUCAUAUAAUCUCAUAUUCAAUUUCAAGUGCUCAAAUGUUCACAUAACAAUUUACUCAUUUCAUUUCAGAGUUGUUUUGGCACCACUCACAAGACAAAGAUCUUAUGGCAACGUUCCACAACCUCAUGCUAUCCUCUAUUACUCACAGAGAGCCACCGGCUCUAACGGAGGUCUUCUCAUAACCGAAGCUACCGGUGUCUCUGACACCGCUCAAGGGUAUCCAGAUACGCCAGGUAUUUGGACUAAAGAGCAUGUCGAGGCAUGGAAACCCAUUGUGGAUGCUGUUCAUGCUAAAGGUGCUACCAUCUUUUGUCAGAUUUGGCAUGUUGGAAGAGUUUCUGAUUCAGGUAUGUUCUAUGAUACAUGCAAAGAAACUUCUAUCUCUUCAAAUUAUCCAAGUUUCUUUGCAUGAAGAUACAUGCCUAAAAUAAUUUUGAAAUGACAUAAAACAUAAAUCAGUGAUUUUGUUGAUUUGAACUUCUUUGCUUUUGAUUGACCUGCAAUGCAUCUAUCUGUUCUUUUCCCCCAACUACAGUUUUUCAGCCAAAUGGACAGGCACCAAUAUCAUCUACAGACAAGUCACUCACACCACAAAUUCGAAGUAAUGGUUUUAAUAUUGCAAAAUUCACACCGCCUAGACGGCUAAGGACAGAUGAAAUUCCUAACAUUGUCAAUGACUUCAGACUUGCUGCAAGAAAUGCUAUUGAAGCUGGUAACUUUACUAAUCUUUACAAAUGUCCAAAAUAAAUAAACAUAUAAAAUCUUCAAUGUAUCAUAGUACAAUGUUUGUGAUACAUAGAUCUUUUUGCUGCUUUAGAGAGCACUGGGACAUUUUACAAUUAUAUAACAUACUUACUAGGGCGCAAAUUGCAGGAUUUGAUGGGGUUGAAAUCCAUGGAGCUCAUGGCUACCUCCUUGAGCAAUUCAUGAAAGAUAAAGUGAAUGACAGGACAGAUGAAUAUGGUGGGUCUCUGGAGAACCGCUGUCGAUUUGCUUUGGAAGUUGUUGAAGCUGUUGCAAAUGAGAUAGGAGCAGAAAGAGUUGGAAUAAGAUUAUCACCUUUUGCGGAGUAUGCAGAAUGUGGAGACUCCAACCCCAAUGAAUUGGGACUUUAUAUGGUCAAUGCCCUCAAUAAAUAUGGUAUUCUUUACUGUCAUAUGGUGGAACCAAGAAUGAAAACUGUUGGUGAAAAAACUGAAUGCCCCGACAGCCUUGUGCCAAUGAGAAAGGCCUUCAAAGGCACUUUCAUGGUUGCAGGAGGUUACGACCGACAUGAUGGGAUCAAUGCCAUAGCUGAAAACAGGGCAGACCUUGUUGUAUAUGGUCGUUUGUUCUUAGCUAAUCCAGAUUUACCAAAGAGAUUUGCACUUGAUGCUCCUCUGAACAAAUAUAACAGGGAGACGUUCUACAUUUCUGAUCCAGUUCUAGGUUAUACUGACUACCCCUUUCUUGAAUGAAGAAACUGAUGCUGUAGCAUCCAAGUGUGGAAUCUCCUCACUAAAUAAGUUCAUUAUCCCUUGCAAAUUGAUUUCUGCUAUUGA